Molecule: ribosomal RNA, 293 nt
Filed under: uncultured microorganism
Description: partial 16S ribosomal RNA
Rfam family: Bacterial small subunit ribosomal RNA
Source: RNAcentral
GUGCCAGCAGCCGCGGUAAUACGUAGGGUGCAAGCGUUGUCCGGAAUUAUUGGGCGUAAAGAGCUCGUAGGCGGUGUGUCGCGUCGGCCGUGAAAACUUUCAGCUUAACUGGGAGCGUGCGGUCGAUACGGGCAUCACUUGAGUUCGGCAGGGGAGACUGGAAUUCCUGGUGUAGCGGUGAAAUGCGCAGAUAUCAGGAGGAACACCGGUGGCGAAGGCGGGUCUCUGGGCCGAUACUGACGCUGAGGAGCGAAAGCGUGGGGAGCGAACAGGAUUAGAUACCCUGGUAGUCC